UGGGGAAUAUUGCACAAUGGGCGAAAGCCUGAUGCAGCAACGCCGCGUGAGUGAUGAAGGCCUUCGGGUUGUAAAGCUCUGUCUUUUGGGACGAUAAUGACGGUACCAAAGGAGGAAGCCACGGCUAACUACGUGCCAGCAGCCGCGGUAAUACGUAGGUGGCAAGCGUUGUCCGGAUUUACUGGGCGUAAAGGAUGCGUAGGCGGAUUUUUAAGUGAGAUGUGAAAACCCUAAGCUUAACUUGGGGACUGCAUUUCAUACUGGAAAUCUAGAGUGCGGGAGAGGAGAAUGGAAUUCCUAGUGUAGCGGUGAAAAUGCGUAGAGAUUAGGAAGAACACCAGUGGCGAAGGCGAUUCUCUGGACCGUAACUGACGCUGAGGCAUGAAAGCGUGGGUAGCAAACAGGAUUAGAUACCCUGGUAGUCCACGCCGUAAACCGAUGAGUACUAGGUGUAGGAGGUAUCGACCCCUUCUGUGCCGCAGUUAACACAAUAAGUACUCCGCCUGGGAAGUACGAUCGCAAGA
RNAcentral lists this ribosomal RNA (524 nucleotides) under uncultured bacterium. RNAcentral describes it as "partial 16S ribosomal RNA". It matches the Rfam family "Bacterial small subunit ribosomal RNA", at positions 355 to 893 of the family's 1533-position model. The record is from RNAcentral.